RNAcentral lists this unclassified non-coding RNA (588 nucleotides) under Hevea brasiliensis (rubber tree). The record is from RNAcentral. Lineage: Eukaryota; Viridiplantae; Streptophyta; Magnoliopsida; Malpighiales; Euphorbiaceae.
GUGCUUCGCUGAUGCUUAUUACCUGACAUAUAGGACAAGUCCACUCCUUGGAGUUCACAGAAGUUGGUUUGUCAAUAAGAUCUCCAUCUGAUACUGUUGUGGUUGCCAUUUCUUUAGGUGCAUUCAUUUCUAUAGAAGAAAUGCAAUUGUCACUUUCCAAUUGUUGGUUUUUGGACUUCAACUUCUCAGAAGCAUCUUCAUGUUGACUUCCUUGAAGAUGGGAAAUAAAGAUUGUCUCACUAGGGGUUGUUAUCUGGCAGAUAGGACAGUUCCACUUCUGGAUGCUCUUAGAAGGUGAUUUGUUAGGAAAAUCUCCCACUGCAACUCCUGCAGUUGGCAUUUCUUUAGAUGCAGUUGUCUCCACAGAAGCAGGGGAAGUGUUGCUUUCCAAAAUCUGGUUCUUGGAUUUCAACUUCUUGGAAGCAGCCUCAUGUCGCAUUCCUUGAAGAUGGGAUAUAAAGACUGUCUGACUGGAGGUUUUUACCUGACAUAUAGGACAGUUCCACUCCUCAAUGUUUUCAGAAGGUAGUUUGAUGGGAAGGUCUCUACCUGCUACCACUGUGGCUGCCAUUUCUUUAGGUGCACUUC